CGGUGAAUACGUUCCCGGACCUUGCACACACCGCCCGUCAAGCCAUGGAAGCUGGGUGUACCUAAAGUCGGUAACCGUAAGGAGCCGCCUAGGGUAAAACUAGUGACUGGGCUAAGUCGUAACAAGGUACCC
RNAcentral lists this ribosomal RNA (132 nucleotides) under uncultured bacterium. RNAcentral's name for it is "partial 16S ribosomal RNA". It matches the Rfam family "Bacterial small subunit ribosomal RNA", at positions 1360 to 1501 of the family's 1533-position model. The record is from RNAcentral.